RNAcentral lists this ribosomal RNA (253 nucleotides) under uncultured bacterium. Its description in RNAcentral is "partial 16S ribosomal RNA". It matches the Rfam family "Bacterial small subunit ribosomal RNA", at positions 524 to 776 of the family's 1533-position model. The record is from RNAcentral.
UACAGAGGGUGCAAACGUUGUUCGGAUUUACUGGGCGUAAAGCGCGUGUAGGCGGCUUGGCAAGUCGGGUGUGAAAGCCCUGGGCUCAACCUAGGAAGUGCACUCGAAACUGCUUCGCUGGAGUCUCGGAGAGGAAAGCGGAAUUCUCGGUGUAGAGGUGAAAUUCGUAGAUAUCGGGAGGAACAUCGGUGGCGAAGGCGGCUUUCUGGACGACGACUGACGCUGAGACGCGAAAGCGUGGGGAGCAAACAGG